RNAcentral lists this long non-coding RNA (579 nucleotides) under Numida meleagris (helmeted guineafowl). RNAcentral describes it as "lncRNA (ENSNMEG00000001772.1)". The record is from RNAcentral. Lineage: Eukaryota; Metazoa; Chordata; Aves; Galliformes; Numididae.
UGUCCUCUGUCUCUCCCCCGUGGCAAGCGGUUCGGUUUCCAGAAGCAUGACUUCCCUUUUCUCCCCGUGCUCUUUCCAGCCAAGGCGACCAACAGAGUCAUCGAGACAGGAGACAUCGGGAGCCUGUGUGAGGGGCUGAAUGCCUGCAGCACCAUCUCUCAGCUCCAGUCCUCAUCCAAAAUCGCGAGGGUCUUUUGCAGCAGCUUCCCCCUGGAACACGCCGUGGACUUCAUGACGGCCAUCAGGGAGACCUUCCAGGAAGCCAAAGGGACGCGUCCGCGUGCUGCUGGGAAGUGGAUGAUCACCUUUCUGCAGAUGUAUGGAAAGGACAUCCACUGGGACGUGCCACCGAUCCUCUGCAUCCUGCGCAGCUGCGUGCGCUCCAUGCAGCAGAGCGUGUUCCUGCCCAUCCUGUGCCAGGCGGUGGUCAUCCUCACACGCUGUCACGCAGAGCUCGCGAUUGACAACUUCUUCCGGCUGCUUGAGCCCACAGACAGUGACACGUGGAGGAAAAGAAUAAGAGCAUUUUCUCUUCGAGAGGGGAGCCGGUAGAGGAAUGCAAAGAACAGCAAAGCCGAG